CCUAACGAUCAACGAGGAGUAGGAGGACUUCAUCAAUUGUAUUCUCUCAAUCCCUCUUGCAGAUAGAAGUUGGAAAAAGUUGGUCGCCCUCAACAUCCUACACGCUUUCCGUGGUGGACCUGUACCGAUGGACGAAGCCUGACAGUUGGACGCUUAAUCUUGUUUACGUAAGUUUUAUUUCCCUUCUUACUUUGUUCGUCUAAUUAAUUGGUUCAUCGGCUUCAUUACCUGUGUGUUGGUUUCAAAAGGUCUCUGGAGGUGAAGAAGGCUACUGCUGCUGAUUUCAAAGCGGGGGGAUUGUUGGCCUUUUUAGCGAAGGUAGGCCCAAAGAAGAAAGGCCAGGGCAAUAAUGAUCGUCCAGCCAAGAAGGUGUCUGAUCCUUCUACCAGUCUAGACCAAGUAGGGCCUUCUUAGAAGAGCUCUAAACCCUCGCAUCAUGGCGUGGGUAAAGGUCUCAUGACCUUUCAAGGACCUGUCACCCCCGCACCCGUCGCCAUGCUCAUGAGAGACAAGCAGUAUAUUGUGGAGACGGCCCGAUCCAUUAUCAAGGAUGCGGACCUCGAUGAGUGCUCUAAGAAUGAGAUGGAGUCUUUGGGGGAUUCUGGUCUUUUUGACUUGACGAGGGCCUUAGUGAAGAUGCAAGCCCUACAAAUUAGGUGCAUAGCUCAGGAGGUGGUGGUCAGGCACCUGCAUACCCGUAUGGCUGUUGAUAGCGACAACUUGAAGAAAUUCAAGGAUGCCCUCCGUCUACUUAAUGGUGAAGUAAAUGAUCAGAAGGCCUAGUGAGAAAGGAGCAUCCAUCGGGUAGAAGAGUUGACCAAGGCUAACACUAACUUAACAACAGAGUUGGCUACCCUUCAUGAACAAGUCGACAUGGCCAAAGCCAACACCGUGGCGGAGUAUAAAUAUUCUCAGCCCUACUUCGAUGAGUUGGGUGACUAAUAUGGUGAAGGCUUUGAGGAAUUUUGUAAGCAGGUCAUUGCCUUCUUUCCUAGUUUGGACUUCUCUCAGAUCUGGAUCGACACCAUGGUCCCGAUGGCUCCUCGUAGGGGUGACGUGAUUGUGGAGGUUGAUGAUGACAGAGCUAACGGGUAAGUAAAGGGAGAGGAGGCUGGCUCGAUGAAUGAAAAGGCUGACGGAAAGGUGACUACUAUUGGUUAAAAUAUAUCUGAUGCUCCUCCAGCUUAGCUUUGUUAUCCCCUUUUUUUGCAUUUAUUAAAGUCAAUUUGAAAACAAUUUAGGUGCCUUGUUUUAGGCAUAAGUGACGUUUCAUGGCUUUGUCGGGUUUGAUGAAGUCUUUAUUUAUAUAUUUGCAUUCUCU
Molecule: long non-coding RNA, 1321 nt
Organism: Quercus robur (English oak)
Lineage: Eukaryota; Viridiplantae; Streptophyta; Magnoliopsida; Fagales; Fagaceae
Exons: 2
Source: RefSeq, a predicted model, not a curated record